This 234-nucleotide ribosomal RNA is filed under the name uncultured bacterium. RNAcentral's name for it is "partial 16S ribosomal RNA". It matches the Rfam family "Bacterial small subunit ribosomal RNA", at positions 32 to 258 of the family's 1533-position model. The record is from RNAcentral.
AAUCAACGCUGGCGGCGUGCCUAACACAUGCUGGUCGAACGCGAAAGGGGCGUUCGGUCCUGAGUAGAGUGGCGUCCGGGUGAGUAACGCGUGGGUAAUCUACCCUUGGGUGGGGAAGUAACCAGUCGAAGAUUGGCUAAUACCGCAUAAUGCAGCGGCUCGACAUCGAGACAGUUGUUAAAGCAGCAAUGCGCCAGAGGAGGAGCCUGCGUCUGAUUAGCUUGUUGGCGGGGU